GAUGAACGCUGGCGGCGUGCCUAAUACAUGCAAGUCGAGCGAACAGACGCGGCGCUUGCUCCUCUGACGUUAGCGGCGGACGGGUGAGUAACACGUGGAUAACCUACCUAUCAGACUGGGAUAACUUCGGGAAACCGGAGCUAAUACCGGAUAAUCUAUUGAACCGCAUGGUUCAUUAGUGAAAGUCGGUUUUGGUGUCUCUUAUAGAUGGAUCCGGGCCGCAUUAGCUAGUUGGUACGGUAACGGCUUAGCAGGGCAACGAUGCGUAGCCGACCGGAGAGGGGGGUCGGCGGCACGAGAGGGUGAACGGGGACCAGGCGACUACGGGAGGGAGCAGUAGGCAAUGGUACGCAGUGGGCGAGAACCUGGCGGAGCGACGGGACGUGAGUGAUAGAGGUGUUGGGAGCGUAAUGCUGGGUUAGUGGGGGAGAACAAAUUUCGAAGGAACUGAACACGUCGUGACGGUAACUAAUCAGAAAGCAACGGCUAACUACGUG
Molecule: ribosomal RNA, 497 nt
Filed under: uncultured bacterium
Lineage: Bacteria
Description: partial 16S ribosomal RNA
Rfam family: Bacterial small subunit ribosomal RNA
Source: RNAcentral